RNAcentral lists this ribosomal RNA (226 nucleotides) under uncultured bacterium. Its description in RNAcentral is "partial 16S ribosomal RNA". It matches the Rfam family "Bacterial small subunit ribosomal RNA", at positions 28 to 252 of the family's 1533-position model. The record is from RNAcentral.
GACGAACGCUGGCGGCGUGCUUAACACAUGCAAGUCGAACGGUGAAGCCCUUCGGGGUGGGAUCAGUGGCGAACGGGUGAGUAACACGUGAGCAAUCUGCCCUUGACUCGUGGGAUAACUUCGGGAAACCGGAGCGUAAUACCGGGAUAUGACACGCGGCCGCAUGGUCUGUGUGGUGGAAAGAUUUAUUGGUCAGGGAUGAGCUCGCGGCCUAUCAGCUUGUUGG